AACAGAAUGGUUCGGGUGGGAAAGGGCCAUCAAGACUGCUGUUCCAAGCUCAUGCCAUGGGCAGGGACAGCUUCCACUAGGUCAGGUUGCGCAAAGGUGCCUCCAGCCUGGCCUGGAGCACUGCCAGGGAUGGGGCGCGCACAGCCUCUGGGGGCAGCCUGUGCCAGUGCCUCAGCACCCUCACGGUGCCGAGUCUUUCUUCCUCAUAUCUCAUCCAAAUCUCCCCUCUUCUACUUUUCAGGCACUGUCCUUUGUUGUAUCACUACCCUCCCUUACAACGAGUCCCUCUCCAGCUUUCCCCAGUCCUCCUUCAGGCACUGGAAGGCUGCUCUGUGGUGUCCCCAGAGCCUCCCCUCCCCCGGGCUGGACAAUCCCCACUCUUGCAGUGUGCCAUCUCACCUGGACGUGAGCAUCCUUCACAGCCGGUCGACUGGAGCCCUGCUCUGCACAGUGGCGGCCCAGAGCUCUCUCUCUGUCCUG
Molecule: long non-coding RNA, 480 nt
Filed under: Gallus gallus (chicken)
Lineage: Eukaryota; Metazoa; Chordata; Aves; Galliformes; Phasianidae
Description: lncRNA (ENSGALG00010023919.1)
Source: RNAcentral